This 435-nucleotide ribosomal RNA is filed under the name uncultured bacterium. RNAcentral describes it as "partial 16S ribosomal RNA". It matches the Rfam family "Bacterial small subunit ribosomal RNA", at positions 28 to 507 of the family's 1533-position model. The record is from RNAcentral.
GAUGAACGCUGGCGGUAUGCCUAACACAUGCAAGUCGAACGGACUCUUCGGAGUUAGUGGCGGACGGGUGAGUAACGCGUGAGAAUCUGGCUUUGGGUUCGGGACAACCACUGGAAACGGUGGCUAAUACCGGAUGUGCCGAGAGGUAAAAGAGAAAUUGCCUGAAGAUGAGCUCGCGUCUGAUUAGCUAGUUGGUGAGGUAAAGGCUCACCAAGGCAGCGAUCAGUAGCUGGUCUGAGAGGAUGACCAGCCACACUGGGACUGAGACACGGCCCAGACUCCUACGGGAGGCAGCAGUGGGGAAUUUUCCGCAAUGGGCGAAAGCCUGACGGAGCAAUACCGCGUGAGGGAAGAAGGCUCUUGGGUUGUAAACCUCUUUUCUUAGGGAAGAACAAAAUGACGGUACCUAAGGAAUCAGCAUCGGCUAACUCCGUG